GCCCGGAUGGCGGAAUUGGCAGACGCGCUACAUUCAGGGUGUAGUGUCCGUAAGGACGUGCAGGUUCGACUCCUGUUCCGGGCA
This 84-nucleotide transfer RNA is filed under the name Bacteroidota bacterium. RNAcentral describes it as "tRNA-Leu". It matches the Rfam family "tRNA". From Rfam's summary of the family: Transfer RNA (tRNA) molecules are approximately 80 nucleotides in length. Their secondary structure includes four short double-helical elements and three loops (D, anti-codon, and T loops). Further hydrogen bonds mediate the characteristic L-shaped molecular structure. tRNAs have two regions of fundamental functional importance: the anti-codon, which is responsible for specific mRNA codon recognition, and the 3' end, to which the tRNAs corresponding amino acid is attached (by aminoacyl-tRNA synthetases). tRNAs cope with the degeneracy of the genetic code in two manners: having more than one tRNA (with a specific anti-codon) for a particular amino acid; and 'wobble' base-pairing, i.e. permitting non-standard base-pairing at the 3rd anti-codon position. Lineage: Bacteria; Pseudomonadati; Bacteroidota. The record is from RNAcentral. RNAcentral also lists the same sequence under 4 other names.